RNAcentral lists this ribosomal RNA (440 nucleotides) under uncultured bacterium. RNAcentral's name for it is "partial 16S ribosomal RNA". It matches the Rfam family "Bacterial small subunit ribosomal RNA", at positions 339 to 795 of the family's 1533-position model. The record is from RNAcentral.
CUACGGGGGGCAGCAGUGAGGAAUAUUGCGCAAUGGACGAAAGUCUGACGCAGCAACGCCGCGUGGGCGAAGAAGGCCUUCGGGUUGUAAAGCCCUUUUCUGAGGGAAGAGAGAGGACGGUACCUCAGGAAUAAGUCUCGGCUAACUACGUGCCAGCAGCCGCGGUAAAACGUAGGAGGCGAGCGUUAUCCGGAUUUAUUGGGCGUAAAGCGCAUGCAGGUGGUUUCGUAAGUCGGACGUGAAAGCCUCUGGCUUAACUGGAGGAGGUCGUUCGAUACUGCGGAACUUGAGGUCGGAAGAGGGAAGUGGAAUUCCCGGUGUAGUGGUGGAAUGCGUAGAUAUCGGGAGGAACACCAGUGGCGAAGGCGACUUCCUGGUCCGCACCUGACACUAAGAUGCGAAAGCGUGGGGAGCGAACGGGAUUAGAUACCCUAGUAGUC